GCGGGGUUAGUAUACCGGUAGUACGUCACCUUGCCAAGGUGAAAGAGCGAGUUCGAUUCUCGUACCCCGCU
Molecule: transfer RNA, 71 nt
Filed under: Candidatus Roizmanbacteria bacterium CG10_big_fil_rev_8_21_14_0_10_39_6
Lineage: Bacteria; Candidatus Roizmaniibacteriota
Also listed under: 1 other name
Description: tRNA-Gly
Rfam family: tRNA
About the family: Transfer RNA (tRNA) molecules are approximately 80 nucleotides in length. Their secondary structure includes four short double-helical elements and three loops (D, anti-codon, and T loops).
Source: RNAcentral